AUUGAACGCUGGCGGCAUGCUUUACACAUGCAAGUCGAACGGUAACAGGGAGCUUGCUCCGCUGACGAGUGGCGAACGGGUGAGUAAUGCAUCGGAACGUACCCAGCCGUGGGGGAUAACGUAGCGAAAGUUACGCUAAUACCGCAUACGUCCUGAGGGAGAAAGCGGGGGACCGUAAGGCCUCGCGCGAUUGGAGCGGCCGAUGUCGGAUUAGCUAGUUGGUGGGGUAAAGGCCUACCAAGGCGACGAUCCGUAGCGGGUCUGAGAGGAUGAUCCGCCACACUGGGACUGAGACACGGCCCAGACUCCUACGGGAGGCAGCAGUGGGGAAUUUUGGACAAUGGGGGCAACCCUGAUCCAGCCAUGCCGCGUGAGUGAAGAAGGCCUUCGGGUUGUAAAGCUCUUUCAGACGGAAAGAAAACGCAAUCGGUGAAUACCCGGUGUGGAUGACGGUACCGUAAGAAGAAGCACCGGCUAACUACGUGCCAGCAGCCGCGGUAAUCUCGUCUCUACG
RNAcentral lists this ribosomal RNA (514 nucleotides) under uncultured bacterium. RNAcentral describes it as "bacterial SSU rRNA". It matches the Rfam family "Bacterial small subunit ribosomal RNA", at positions 29 to 536 of the family's 1533-position model. The record is from RNAcentral.